CCUAGCUCAAUUGGUAGAGCAACUGACUUGUAAUCAGUAGGUUGGGGGUUCAAGUCCUCUGGCCGGCA
Molecule: transfer RNA, 68 nt
Filed under: Cytobacillus solani
Lineage: Bacteria; Bacillati; Bacillota; Bacilli; Caryophanales; Bacillaceae
Rfam family: tRNA
About the family: Transfer RNA (tRNA) molecules are approximately 80 nucleotides in length. Their secondary structure includes four short double-helical elements and three loops (D, anti-codon, and T loops). Further hydrogen bonds mediate the characteristic L-shaped molecular structure. tRNAs have two regions of fundamental functional importance: the anti-codon, which is responsible for specific mRNA codon recognition, and the 3' end, to which the tRNAs corresponding amino acid is attached (by aminoacyl-tRNA synthetases). tRNAs cope with the degeneracy of the genetic code in two manners: having more than one tRNA (with a specific anti-codon) for a particular amino acid; and 'wobble' base-pairing, i.e. permitting non-standard base-pairing at the 3rd anti-codon position.
Source: Rfam by way of RNAcentral